Molecule: ribosomal RNA, 565 nt
Filed under: Suhomyces kunorum
Lineage: Eukaryota; Fungi; Ascomycota; Pichiomycetes; Serinales; Debaryomycetaceae
Description: eukaryotic LSU rRNA
Rfam family: Eukaryotic large subunit ribosomal RNA
Source: RNAcentral
AUAUCAAUAAGCGGAGGAAAAGAAACCAACCGGGAUUGCCUCAGUAACGGCGAGUGAAGCGGCAACAGCUCAAAUUUGAAAUCUGGCCCUGCCCGAAUUGUAAUUUGAAGAAGCGACUCUGGUACCGGUCCCUGUCUAUGUUCCUUGGAACAGGACGUCACAGAGGGUGAGAAUCCCGUGCGAUGGGGAGUGCGGCGCCGUGUAGAGCGUUUUCGACGAGUCGAGUUGUUUGGGAAUGCAGCUCUAAGUGGGUGGUAAAUUCCAUCUAAAGCUAAAUACGGGCGAGAGACCGAUAGCGAACAAGUACUGUGAAGGAAAGAUGAAAAGCACUUUGAAAAGAGAGUGAAAAAGUACGUGAAAUUGUUGAAAGGGAAGGGCUUGGGAUCAGACUUUGUAUUUCCAUGGCGUUCUCUCGGGAGCGUCCGCUGGGCUUACAGGGCCAGCAUGGGUUCUGCGGGCAAGACACGGCGGCAGGAACGUGGCUCCCCCUCGGGGGAGUGUUAUAGCCUGCCUCACCAGUUGCCACGCGGGACCGAGGACUGCGGAUCUAGGAUGCUGGCAUAAU